Molecule: ribosomal RNA, 492 nt
Filed under: uncultured bacterium
Lineage: Bacteria
Description: partial 16S ribosomal RNA
Rfam family: Bacterial small subunit ribosomal RNA
Source: RNAcentral
AGUGAACGCUGGCGGUAGGCCUAACACAUGCAAGUCGAACGGCAGCACAGUAAGAGCUUGCUCUUACGGGUGGCGAGUGGCGGACGGGUGAGGGAUACAUCGGAAUCUACCUUUUCGUGGGGGAUAACGUAGGGAAACUUACGCUAAUACAGCAUACGACCUACGGGUGAAAGCAGGGGAUCUUCGGACCUUGCGCGAUUGAAUGAGCCGAUGUCGGAUUAGCUAGUUGGCGGGGUAAAGGCCCACCAAGGCGACGAUCCGUAGCUGGUCUGAGAGGAUGAUCAGCCACACUGGAACUGAGACACGGUCCAGACUCCUACGGGAGGCAGCAGUGGGGAAUAUUGGACAAUGCGCGCAAGCCUGCUCCAGCCAUACCGCGUGGGUGAAGAAGGCCUUCGGGUUGUAAAGCCCUUUUGUUGGGAAAGAAAAGCAGCAGGUUAAUACCCCGCUGUUCUGACGGUACCCAAAGAAUAAGCACCGGCUAACUUCGUG